RNAcentral lists this ribosomal RNA (633 nucleotides) under uncultured bacterium. RNAcentral describes it as "bacterial SSU rRNA". It matches the Rfam family "Bacterial small subunit ribosomal RNA", at positions 8 to 638 of the family's 1533-position model. The record is from RNAcentral.
AGAGUUUGAUCUGGCUCAGAACGAACGCUGGCGGCGUGCUUAACACAUGCAAGUCGAGUGCACAGUUUGCGUAGCAAUACGUAGAUGGGUGCACGGCGCACGGGUGCGUAACACGUGGGCAAUCUGCCCUCCGAUGGGGAAUAACCCCGCGAAAGCGGGGCUAAUUCCGCAUAAUAUUCCCUGGACCUCGGUUUGGGGAUUCAAAGCCGUAAGGCGUCGGAGGAGGAGCCCGCGCCCGAUUAGCUAGUUGGUGAGGUAAUGGCUCACCAAGGCAAUGAUCGGUAGCUGGUCUGAGAGGAUGGCCAGCCACACUGGAACUGAGACACGGUCCAGACUCCUACGGGAGGCAGCAGUGGGGAAUCUUGCGCAAUGGGCGAAAGCCUGACGCAGCGACGCCGCGUGGGGGAUGAAGCUUCUCGGAGUGUAAACCCCUUUCGACUGGGACGAAUGCCUCGCAAGAGGAGUGACGGUACCAGUAGAAGAAGCCCCGGCUAACUACGUGCCAGCAGCCGCGGUAAGACGUAGGGGGCCAGCGUUGUUCGGAAUUACUGGGUGUAAAGGGUUCGUAGGCGGUGCGGCAAGUUGGGAGUGAAAUCUCUGGGCUUAACCCAGAGGCUGCUUCCAAAACUGCCG